Molecule: transfer RNA, 72 nt
Filed under: Ornithorhynchus anatinus (platypus)
Lineage: Eukaryota; Metazoa; Chordata; Mammalia; Monotremata; Ornithorhynchidae
Rfam family: tRNA
About the family: Transfer RNA (tRNA) molecules are approximately 80 nucleotides in length.
Source: Rfam by way of RNAcentral
AGCAGUGUGAUUUAGUGGAAAGAGCAUGGCCUUGGAAAUCAGAGGACGUGGGUUCUAAUCCCAUCUCUGCCA